RNAcentral lists this ribosomal RNA (705 nucleotides) under uncultured bacterium. RNAcentral describes it as "bacterial SSU rRNA". It matches the Rfam family "Bacterial small subunit ribosomal RNA", at positions 98 to 787 of the family's 1533-position model. The record is from RNAcentral.
GCGAACUGGUGAGUAACACGUGGGAAACCUGCCCAGAAGCGGGGGAUAACACCUGGAAACAGAUGCUAAUACCGCAUAACAACUUGGACCGCAUGGUCCGAGCUUGAAAGAUGGCUUCGGCUAUCACUUUUGGAUGGUCCCGCGGCGUAUUAGCUAGAUGGUGGGGUAACGGCUCACCAUGGCAAUGAUACGUAGCCGACCUGAGAGGGUAAUCGGCCACAUUGGGACUGAGACACGGCCCAAACUCCUACGGGAGGCAGCAGUAGGGAAUCUUCCACAAUGGACGAAAGUCUGAUGGAGCAACGCCGCGUGAGUGAAGAAGGGUUUCGGCUCGUAAAACUCUGUUGUUAAAGAAGAACAUAUCUGAGAGUAACUGUUCAGGUAUUGACGGUAUUUAACCAGAAAGCCACGGCUAACUACGUGCCAGCAGCCGCGGUAAUACGUAGGUGGCAAGCGUUGUCCGGAUUUAUUGGGCGUAAAGCGAGCGCAGGCGGUUUUUUAAGUCUGAUGUGAAAGCCUUCGGCUCAACCGAAGAAGUGCAUCGGAAACUGGGAAACUUGAGUGCAGAAGAGGACAGUGGAACUCCAUGUGUAGCGGUGAAAUGCGUAGAUAUAUGGAAGAACACCAGUGGCGAAGGCGGCUGUCUGGUCUGUAACUGACGCUGAGGCUUCGAAAGUUAUGGGUAGCAAACAGGAUUAGAUACCC